GUAGGUGAACCUGCGGAAGGAUCAUUAUUGAAUAAACUUGGUUGGGUUGCUGCUGGCUCUCCGGAGCAUGUGCACACUCACUCCAUUUUUAACCACCUGUGCACAUACUGUAGGCCUGAAUGAACUUUGUCGAGGAAACUCGGUUUGAGAACUGCUCAGCUGUUCUUGUAUUUCAGGUCUAUGUUUUUAAACAUAUACUCCAUAACAAGUUAUAGAAUGUUAAUUAUGGGCCUUCUGUGCCUUUAAAACCUAAUACAACUUUCAACAACGGAUCUCUUGGCUCUC
Molecule: unclassified non-coding RNA, 285 nt
Filed under: rhizosphere metagenome
Description: partial ribosomal RNA internal transcribed spacer region
Source: RNAcentral